GUCACCAGCGUCUCACUUUUCGUAAUGAUGCUUAUCUGUCUGUGGAGAAACCCCCAAGAUAAACGUGAAUCUUCAGCUGUGCUGUAUACUGCGACAAUCAACAAAGACACAUGCAGAAUAAAAGGUCCUCUCCAGAGGGGGCGCUCCUCCGUAUUCUCCACUGUGGCUGUAUACAGACCUGUCCUCAGACCCGGAUUCACUCGGGGAAGAGUCGUGACUUAUAAAGCCCACAGACAGGACGGGAACAAAGGGCAAACCUUUUCAUGUUCGUGCAGAAAAUAUGACUCGACUUUAAACUGGAGUAAUUAAGACCAAAUGUUGAAUAGAUUACA
This is a long non-coding RNA of Fundulus heteroclitus (mummichog), 332 nucleotides long. RefSeq lists it as uncharacterized. The transcript has 3 exons. The record is from RefSeq and is a predicted model, not a curated record. Lineage: Eukaryota; Metazoa; Chordata; Actinopteri; Cyprinodontiformes; Fundulidae.